CUAGGAUCCUAAGUGGCUGACAAGAAGCAGGACUCCUCUGAAACUGGGACAGAUUUCUAUGGAGGAAAGACUGAAAUUGAUUUAACUUGCAUUUUGGAGAAUGGGGCUUCCUGGGGAACACAGAGCAAUGUGUGCAGGAGAGGUGUGGAGAUGGAAAUUGACAGUAAAUGUGUUGUAUUCUUCCUUGAGCUGGGGAAUUGAAGACUCAGAGUGAAAGUAUCCAAAAGGAAGCUCUCAGUAUGUAUGAAGUCGUCAUCUCUGUUCGUGAGUUUGGAAGAAUGAAAAUGCACUAGCACCAUUUGGGUUGGUUAUUGUUUAUGGAUAUGGAAUAAAGAGAAAAAAUAGCUCAUUUUCAAGAGAAUUAUGAUUCCCCAAGACUUGUAUGUAUAUUUGUAUAUGUGUACUCAAAAAAUCACUACUAAUUUCUCACUUAGCUUUAGUUUAUU
RNAcentral lists this long non-coding RNA (446 nucleotides) under Chinchilla lanigera (long-tailed chinchilla). RNAcentral's name for it is "lncRNA (ENSCLAG00000022552.1)". Lineage: Eukaryota; Metazoa; Chordata; Mammalia; Rodentia; Chinchillidae. The record is from RNAcentral.